CUGAGUCAAAGCCAAACUUGGAGUGAUCCAAGGUCGGAAAGUUACAGGUCUUUAGGGCAACCUUAAGAUGGCUGGACCGCCUUA
This 84-nucleotide non-coding RNA is filed under the name Agarivorans albus. Its description in RNAcentral is "c-di-GMP sequence". It matches the Rfam family "c-di-GMP-I riboswitch aptamer". From Rfam's summary of the family: GEMM was predicted in a large-scale screen for bacterial structured RNA regulatory elements. Genes associated with GEMM are involved in a diverse array of functions, including chemotaxis regulation, signal transduction, secretion and chitin. The record is from RNAcentral. Lineage: Bacteria; Pseudomonadati; Pseudomonadota; Gammaproteobacteria; Alteromonadales; Alteromonadaceae. RNAcentral also lists the same sequence under 1 other name.